Molecule: ribosomal RNA, 463 nt
Filed under: uncultured bacterium
Lineage: Bacteria
Description: SSU rRNA
Rfam family: Bacterial small subunit ribosomal RNA
Source: RNAcentral
AGAACGAACGCUGGCGGCAUGCCUAACACAUGCAAGUCGAACGCUCACCGGGCUUCGGUUCGGUGGGAGUGGCGCACGGGUGAGUAGCGCGUGGGAACCUGCCCUGUUGUGGGGGAUAACCGAGGGAAACUUCGGCUAAUACCGCAUGCGCCCGGGGAAACCCGGGGAAAGAUUUAUCGCAGCAGGAGGGGCCCGCGUCGGAUUAGGUAGUUGGUAGGGUAACGGCCUACCAAGCCUUUGAUCCGUAGCUGGUCUGAGAGGAUGAUCAGCCACACUGGGACUGAGACACGGCCCAGACUCCUACGGGAGGCAGCAGUGGGAAUAUUGGACAAUGGGCGCAAGCCUGAUCCAGCAAUGCCGCGUGAGUGAUGAAGGCCUUAGGGUUGUAAAGGCUCUUUCGCCCGCGACGAUGAUGACGGUAGCGGGAGAAGAAGCCCCGGACUAACUUCGUGCCAGCAGCCGC